Molecule: non-coding RNA, 74 nt
Organism: Cymbomonas tetramitiformis
Lineage: Eukaryota; Viridiplantae; Chlorophyta; Pyramimonadophyceae; Pyramimonadales; Pyramimonadaceae
Source: the annotation of a GenBank genome assembly
UCGCCCAUAGCUCAGUUGGAUAGAGCCCUCACACAAUGUGCGAGAGGUCCCGAGUUCGACUCUCGGUGGGCGAC